GGAGACCGGUACAGUGGCGGACGGGUGAGUAACGCGUGGGAAUCUACCCGGUAGUGGGGAAUAACCCCCCGAAAGGGGAGCUAAUACCGCAUAAGCCCCAAGGGGUAAAGAUGGCCUCUUUCUAAUGCUAUCCCUUCCGGAUGAGCCCGCGUCCUAUUAACUAUUUGGUGAGGUAAUGGCUUACCAAGGCUACGAUGGGUAGCCGGUCGGAAAGGAGGAACGGCCACCCUGGGACUGAAACACGGCCCAGACUCCUACGGUAGGCACCAGUGGGGAAUUUUGCGCAGUGGGGGAAACCCUGACCCAACAACGCCACGUGGAUGACAAAGGCCUUCCGGUCGGAAUGUCCUGUUCUGGGGAAAGAAUAAGUAAAGGGCCAAUACCCCUUUACCCUGACGGUACCCCGCCAUAAAGCUCCGGCCAAUUAUGUGCCAGCA
RNAcentral lists this ribosomal RNA (437 nucleotides) under uncultured bacterium. RNAcentral describes it as "bacterial SSU rRNA". It matches the Rfam family "Bacterial small subunit ribosomal RNA", at positions 82 to 513 of the family's 1533-position model. The record is from RNAcentral.